Molecule: ribosomal RNA, 253 nt
Filed under: uncultured bacterium
Lineage: Bacteria
Description: partial 16S ribosomal RNA
Rfam family: Bacterial small subunit ribosomal RNA
Source: RNAcentral
UACGAAGGGUGCGAGCGUUGUUCGGAAUUACUGGGCGUAAAGGGUUUGUAGGCUGAAGAAUAAGUCAUAUGUGAAAUCCCCGAGCUAAACUUGGGACGUGCAUACGAAACUGUUUUUCUUGAGUAUCGUAGAGGGUGGUGGAAUUGUAGGUGUAGGAGUGACAUCCGUAGAGAUCUGCAGGAACAUCAGAGGCGAAGGCGACCACCUGGCCGAUUACUGACGCUGAGGAACGAAAGCGUGGGGAGCAAACAGG